AAAAAAUUCAUUGUCCUAUAAAUUGAAGUGAUAUAAAAGUUUCGACAUUUAGAUCCGCUCACAUCAAAAGAGAGAUAAUUAAGCUGUCAUCGGAUAAGAUUAUUAGAAAAAACCAAAACUCGCAUCAAAGCAAAUAGUACCAAAGUGGAACCUAAACCAUCAAAAUAAAUAUUCCAAGGACAAUUUGGUCGAAAUUAGACAAAUCUCGUACCAGAUUUCUUGCAUUAAGAGAUAAAGCCAAAAGCAUAGGACAAAAAUCAAAUAAGACCGCACAUGACACAGUAAAAUUGUAAUGAAUCGAUUCCAAUGAAAAGAUUUAACGUGGAAGAAUAAUAGCCAAGAGCUCGAAAUUUGAAUUUGCUUGGUCAGUAAACAAGGUGCGUGGCAAUUGAGACCUCUAACCACAAAAACACUUUAAUUAUACUAAAGUUAAAUUGUGGCCAUUCUUUUCUUUUUAAUAAUUUAAAGAACUCCAUUUGAUCUUCGCUUACUCGGCUUGCUCCACUUGCAUGAGCCGAGCGGCCAUCACCAUCAUCGGCUCGAACCAUGGGUUAGACCUUGGGUUAAGAGACCCCAAGCACAUUCAUGGAAUUGGUCCCAACUCCCAAUUUUUUCAAAAAUCUAUGUUUCUUAUAAUAAUAAUAAUAAUAUGAGAUAUUUUAUAUGCCCAUUCUUAAAACAACACUCGUAUGCCAUGCGCAAGUGGAAUUGGAAUAUUGGAUAUAUCAUCUCUCUUAACCUUGAUAUUAAGCUAUAAACACACAUUCUUAAGUGUAGGUGUCCCAUUUUUUUUAAUGCGAAUACACUGGUAAGUCGUACGACUCAAUAAAAUUAAUUUUUAAUAUAAUAUAAAAUUAUGUUGUUAAAUAAUAUUAAAAUUUAACUCUAUUAAAUCGAAUAGUUUAAAAACAUGUUCGCAUUAAAAAAAAAAAAGAGGCACCCGCACUAAAGAACAUAUUCAAAAGAUACACUUUUAAACAUAAUUUUUUAACUAAUUUUUUAACCAAUUGAUUAUAAUUAAUCAAUGAUUGAGGUUAAAACUGACAUGACCUUUUAUAAUUUUAAAAACUAACAAAUUAAUGUAAGGGGUCUCUAAUAAUAAUAAAUUAUUACUCAUUCUUCUCUGCCUCACAUAAUAUAUUUUUCCCAUUAGUACUCUACGUUUCUCAUGUCUUUAAUAUUUAUCUCCAUUCUCUCUUCUAAUUCAACAGACCCCAUCGCGGAACUAUUAUCCAGAAAAAGGUCAGCUUACCAUUGACGGUAAGAAACCAUUAGCAUUAAUAUUAGCUUCAGGUGCAAUAGCAUAGCAAAGAUCACACGGUACAUGCAAUGCUUUUACAGGAUAAAAGCAUUGCGUUAAAAAGUAACCGAAAUUUUCUCUUUUCAAAACUUCAUAUGCCUCAGGAACAAGAAGAGAAGCCAAUACUUUGAAUUAUGUUGAAUCUCCAAUUGGAACCAUCGAAAUCUCCUUCAAAUGAUAUUUUUGGAGUGCAGAAAUUAAAAAGGAGAGAAAACUAAUAAAUCAAAA
RNAcentral lists this long non-coding RNA (1528 nucleotides) under Citrus x clementina. RNAcentral describes it as "Citrus clementina (C. clementina) long non-coding RNA (CCLE_LNC000812)". Lineage: Eukaryota; Viridiplantae; Streptophyta; Magnoliopsida; Sapindales; Rutaceae. The record is from RNAcentral.